CUGUCUCUUGUGCCCUCGUCACCCCCUCCAGCCUCCACUGACCUCCCAUGACCCUGCAUCCCCCACUGAUUCCCCUCACUGAUCCGCGGUGUCCUGUUGGUCUCCAGGGAGACCCUGGAGCAGGGCUGCCCGGGCCCCGAGGCGAGCGUGGGGAGCCAGGCGUCCGGGUACGUAUGUCCUACUCCAUAGCCAAGCUCCCUUCAUCCCAGCUCUUGCCUCUGAUUUCCAACCUCUGAGUCAAUGAACCUAAUGUCCAUCCAGGGUGAAGAUGGCCGCCCCGGCCAGGAGGGACCCCGAGGACUCACGGGGCCCCCUGGCAGCAGGGGAGAGCGUGGGGAGAAGGGUGACGUUGGGACUGCAGGACUAAAGGGUGACAAGGUGAGUGUGGGCGUGGGGAGGGCAGGGCAGGGGCCAGGGUGCUCCCGACUCCUCUGACUCCUCCAUGCCCCCUCAGGGAGACUCGGCCGUGAUCCUGGGGCCUCCAGGGCCACGGGGUGCCAAGGGGGACAUGGGUGAACGAGGGCCUCGGGGCUUGGAUGGUGACAAAGGACCUCGGGGAGACAAUGGGGACCCUGGUGACAAGGGCAGCAAGGGAGAGCCUGGUGACAAGGGCUCAGCCGGGUCGCCAGGACUGCGUGGACUCCCGGGACCCCAGGGUCAACCUGGUGCAGCAGGGAUCCCUGGUGACCCGGGAUCCCCAGGAAAGGAUGGAGUGUCUGGUAUCCGAGGAGAAAAAGGAGAUGUUGGCUUCAUGGGUCCCCGGGGCCUCAAGGGUGAACGGGGAGUGAAGGGAGCCUGUGGCCUUGAUGGAGAGAAGGGAGACAAGGUACAGAGGGGAUGGGGGCUGGGGGGCUAUGUGGCCUGGGGCCUAAGGCUCACCCCACUGCCUGAUGCCUGCAGGGAGAAGCUGGUCCCCCAGGCCGCCCCGGGCUGGCAGGACAUAAAGGAGAGAUGGUGAGUGUGGGC
This 966-nucleotide small RNA is filed under the name Pongo abelii (Sumatran orangutan). RNAcentral's name for it is "retained intron". Lineage: Eukaryota; Metazoa; Chordata; Mammalia; Primates; Hominidae. The record is from RNAcentral.